This 408-nucleotide ribosomal RNA is filed under the name Asterocladon breviarticulatum. RNAcentral's name for it is "bacterial LSU rRNA". It matches the Rfam family "Bacterial large subunit ribosomal RNA", at positions 2078 to 2485 of the family's 2925-position model. Lineage: Eukaryota; Phaeophyceae; Asterocladales; Asterocladaceae. The record is from RNAcentral.
GGACAGAAAGACCCUAUGAAGCUUUACUGUAACUUGAAAUUGGCUUCGGGUUUUAUUUGCGCAGUAUAGGUGGGAGGCUUUGACGUUAAUCUUGCGGGAUUAUCUGAGCCAUCAGUGAGAUACCACUCUAAUACAACUAGAAUUCUAACCCUGUAUCGUUAGCCGGUCAGGGAACAGUUUCAGGCGGGCAGUUUGACUGGGGCGGUCGCCUCCCAAAAGGUAACGGAGGCGCACAAAGGUUUCCUCAGGUCGGUCAGAAAUCGAUCGUAGAGUGUAAAGGCAAAAGGAAGCUUGACUGUGAGACCUACAAGUCGAACAGAGACGAAAGUCGGUCUUAGUGAUCUGGCGAUAUUGAGUGGAAAAGUCGUCACUCAACGGAUAAAAGUUACUCUAGGGAUAACAGGCUGA